RNAcentral lists this small nuclear RNA (349 nucleotides) under Erinaceus europaeus (western European hedgehog). RNAcentral describes it as "7SK RNA". It matches the Rfam family "7SK RNA". From Rfam's summary of the family: 7SK was discovered as an abundant small nuclear RNA in the mid-70s but a possible function has only recently been suggested. Lineage: Eukaryota; Metazoa; Chordata; Mammalia; Eulipotyphla; Erinaceidae. The record is from Rfam by way of RNAcentral.
GGAUGUGAGGGCUAUCUGGCUAAGACAUCUGUCACCCCAUUGAUCACCAGGGUUGAUUCUGCUGAUCUGGCUGGCUAGGCUGGUGUCCCCUUCCUCCCUCACCGCUCCAUGUGCGUCCCUCCGGAAGCUGCGCACCAGGUUGAAGAGAAUGGCCUUCCCUUAAUAGAGAUGGACAGGUCUUCGGUUGAGGGUAUAGGAGUAGCUGCGCUCCCCUGCUAGAACCUCCAAUCAAGAUUUCUAUAGUCUGUUUCUUAUAGAGUAUCUGCAACUGGAAUUUCUUGGAUUUUGUAUGAUUUGUUUCUAUUUGUUGCUACAUAUAUAUGUAUAUGUAUAUACACAUAUAUGGUGU